CCUUGUUGCUUCGGCGGGCCCGCCUUAACUGGCCGCCGGGGGGCUCACGCCCCCGGGCCCGCGCCCGCCGAAGACACCCUCGAACUCUGUCUGAAGAUUGUAGUCUGAGUGAAAAUAUAAAUUAUUUAAAACUUUCAACAACGGAUCUCUUGGUUCCGGCAUCGAUGAAGAACGCAGCGAAAUGCGAUACGUAAUGUGAAUUGCAAAUUCAGUGAAUCAUCGAGUCUUUGAACGCACAUUGCGCCCCCUGGUAUUCCGGGGGGCAUGCCUGUCCGAGCGUCAUUGCUGCCCUCAAGCACGGCUUGUGUGUUGGGCCCCGUCCUCCGAUUCCGGGGGACGGGCCCGAAAGGCAGCGGCGGCACCGCGUCCGGUCCUCGAGCGUAUGGGGCUUUGUCACCCGCUCUGUAGGCCCGGCCGGCGCUUGCCGAUCAACCCAAAUUUUUAUCCAGGUUGACCUCGGAUCAGGUAGGGAUACCCGCUGAACUUAAGCAUAUCAA
This 497-nucleotide ribosomal RNA is filed under the name Penicillium camemberti. RNAcentral describes it as "eukaryotic LSU rRNA". The stretch from base 130 to 282 matches the Rfam family "5.8S ribosomal RNA". The record is from RNAcentral. Lineage: Eukaryota; Fungi; Ascomycota; Eurotiomycetes; Eurotiales; Aspergillaceae.